This 248-nucleotide unclassified non-coding RNA is filed under the name Hevea brasiliensis (rubber tree). Lineage: Eukaryota; Viridiplantae; Streptophyta; Magnoliopsida; Malpighiales; Euphorbiaceae. The record is from RNAcentral.
GUGAGGUUGUUAAUGUGUUGAAAUAUUAGGGUUAGGAAUUGUGUGAUCUAUAUACUGUAAUAUAUUGAACCAGAAUAAAUAGGAUGUCCUACUCCUAGUGCACACCGCUUCUUGCUAUGUGGGUUCUGGGGAAGACUAGAUAUGUGCAUAUAUCCAUGCACUUUACAGGUUGAUACUAUGAUUUACCCAGUCCCAUUUUGCCCCUUUACCACUUGGAUUUAGAUCGCUUGAUUUAAGUCAUUUGAAAC